CCCUUCUUUUUCUCCCGUUUCUCUAUCGAUUCUGACAGAGCACAUAGUCCUCAGCAGUCGUCGUUUCGCUUAUUCCUCGCUCUAUUCGCCUCCUCUUUGAGAAAACGAAGAAGAAGGGGGAAAGAAAACGAGGACGAAAGGAGAAGACAAACGUCUUCUGGGAGAGCUUUU
Caenorhabditis elegans is the source of this 171-nucleotide non-coding RNA. The record is from Ensembl. Lineage: Eukaryota; Metazoa; Nematoda; Chromadorea; Rhabditida; Rhabditidae.